Molecule: ribosomal RNA, 229 nt
Filed under: uncultured bacterium
Lineage: Bacteria
Description: partial 16S ribosomal RNA
Rfam family: Bacterial small subunit ribosomal RNA
Source: RNAcentral
UACGUAGGCGGGAAGUUAAGCCAGUAGUGAAAUCCCACAGCUUAACUGUGGAACUGUUAUUGAUACUGGUUUUCUUGAAUAUAGUUGAGGUAGGCGGAAUGUGUAAUGUAGCGGUGAAAUGCUUAGAUAUUACACAGAACACCGAUUGCGAAGGCAGCUUACUAAGCUAUGAUUGACGCUGAGGUACGAAAGCGUGGGGAGCGAACAGGAUUAGAUACCCUGGUAGUCC